Molecule: ribosomal RNA, 492 nt
Filed under: uncultured bacterium
Lineage: Bacteria
Description: partial 16S ribosomal RNA
Rfam family: Bacterial small subunit ribosomal RNA
Source: RNAcentral
AGUGAACGCUGGCGGUAUGCCUAACACAUGCAAGUCGAACGGCAGCACAGUAAGAGCUUGCUCUUACGGGUGGCGAGUGGCGGACGGGUGAGGAAUACAUCGGAAUCUACUUUUUCGGGGGGGAUAACGGAGGGAAACUUACGCUAAUACCGCAUACGUCCUACGGGUGAAAGCAGGGGAUCUUCGGACUUUUCGCGUCUGUAUGAGACGAUGUCGGAUUAGCUAGUUGGCGAGGUAAAGGCCCACCAAGGCGACGAUCCGUAGCUGAUCUGAGAGGAUGAUCAGCCACACUGGAACUGAGACACGGUCCAGACUCCUACGGGAGGCAGCAGUGGGGAAUAUUGGACAAUGGGCGCAAGCCUGAUCCAGCCAUACCGCGUGGGUGAAGAAGGCCUUCGGGUUGUAAAGCCCUUUUGUUGGGAAGGAAAAGCAGCAGGUUAAUACCCCGCUGUUCUGACGGUACCCAAAGAAUAAGCACCGGCUAACUUCGUG